RNAcentral lists this ribosomal RNA (499 nucleotides) under uncultured Lachancea. RNAcentral describes it as "eukaryotic LSU rRNA". It matches the Rfam family "Eukaryotic large subunit ribosomal RNA", at positions 62 to 559 of the family's 3401-position model. Lineage: Eukaryota; Fungi; Ascomycota; Saccharomycetes; Saccharomycetales; Saccharomycetaceae. The record is from RNAcentral.
AAACCAACAGGGAUUGCCUCAGUAACGGCGAGUGAAGCGGCAAAAGCUCAAAUUUGAAAUCUGGCACCUUCGGUGUCCGAGUUGUAAUUUGAAGAAGCAACUUUGGUGCUGGUCCUUGUCUAUGUUCCUUGGAACAGGACGUCAUAGAGGGUGAGAAUCCCGUGUGGCGAGGAUCCCAGUGCUAUGUAAAGUGCUUUCGACGAGUCGAGUUGUUUGGGAAUGCAGCUCUAAGUGGGUGGUAAAUUCCAUCUAAAGCUAAAUAUUGGCGAGAGACCGAUAGCGAACAAGUACAGUGAUGGAAAGAUGAAAAGAACUUUGAAAAGAGAGUGAAAAAGUACGUGAAAUUGUUGAAAGGGAAGGGCAUUUGAUCAGACAUGGUGUUUGCGACCCUCGCUCCUUGUGGGUGGGAUCUCGCAGCUCACUGGGCCAACAUCGGUUUGCGGCAGGAUAAACUUGGGAAUGUAGCUUGUCUUCGGAGAGUAUAUAGCCCAAGGCAAUA